UACGGGGGGGGCAAGCGUUGUUCGGAAUUACUGGGCGUAAAGGGCUCGUAGGCGGCCAACUAAGUCAGACGUGAAAUCCCUCGGCUUAACCGGGGAACUGCGUCUGAUACUGGAUGGCUCGAGUUUGGGAGAGGGAUGCGGAAUUCCAGGUGUAGCGGUGAAAUGCGCAGAUAUCAGGAGGAACACCUGUGGCGAAGGCGGCCCCCUGGUUGGAUACUGACGCUGAGACGCGAAAGCGUGGGGAGCAAACAGG
RNAcentral lists this ribosomal RNA (253 nucleotides) under uncultured bacterium. RNAcentral describes it as "partial 16S ribosomal RNA". It matches the Rfam family "Bacterial small subunit ribosomal RNA", at positions 524 to 776 of the family's 1533-position model. The record is from RNAcentral.